GUGUGAGGGGUUGUGAUAUUUCCAAGUCCCAAUGCCAGCUCGAGCCUCUCUGGAAUGUGUGCCAAAGUCUUCCCACUGAGAAGAAUGCCUCACAUUAAGCGUGUCAUCCCUGGGCUGGCCCUCAGCUCCUUCCCCAGCUCGGGAGUUUCAGCUUUAACCUUCAUUCCUGUAUCCCAUUUCCCAGCCCCAUGGAAAAAAAAUGCUGUGGAGGGCUCUCCCCUCACCCCCAUCAUCCCUUUACACAUUAAUGUGAAAUGAAACGUUCUCAUGGUUGGCUGUUGAACAACAGACAGCAAUUCCUGCAUGGGGAAUUUUAAUGUCACAUUUCUUUCCUAACCUGGAUGAUGCUCAAUGUGCUUGUCACUGCAGCUUAGAAUUUGUGUGUGUCCUAGGACCCAGCCCUGCAGAGGUGACCAAAAAUUCAAAAAAGUCCAAAUUUGAACCCAAAGGAUGGAAAACAAAAGUUUUGUCUGGGUAAAACAUAUUUCAGAAAGACUUUCUGACAGGAUAUGUCUGUCCUCAAGAACAUCCUAAGACUUGUUCAGUAACACAUUUAGAAAUCCAGUUAACCACCAUGCACUUGCAGUUUAAUGGAAAUAAAAAGUACAGUCCAUUUUAAGACUGAUGGAAACUGAAACCCUUAGAAGAAUAUAAUCAGAUAUGUUUUCAAAUUAGGCCAAAAUUUUUAUGAGGCCAAGCUCAAAAAUAUUGAUGAUUUCUGAGCUGGACAGUAAGAAAUUUGAUCUUCAUUGUAUGGGUUUUUGAAAACUCCAAGAUAUUAGUCUCCAUCUUGACUUAUUUGGGCCUCAAAUAUUCUCCAUUUUUCUCAAAAUGUUGGAGCCAAGAGUUUGUCUGCAUGUGUUUGAGUAUAAAAUGAAGGAAGACACAAAAUAAACCUCCUCUGCAGGCACAGAACAAGGAGAUUUGACACUCUUUCUGUAAAAAGGGGAAUGGAAAUUGCCCUUCAAUUGUCAUUAUUGGCUCUGCUGAUUUCCCUGGUUUCAGUUUUCCUGGCAAGCUGGGUGUCCAUCGUAGCAGGAAGAUGAAUUUAAGAAUGUCUUAAUUCACAAUUAAUCUACGUGGCUUUCUAAAGUACAGGAGUAGGAAAAAAACAAACCAGUCUAAAGAAUUAAAAGAAAAUUGCUAAAAACAAUAGGCUUGUAAAAGCAGGCAUUUUAACUCAGUUUCCAAUUUAAGGAGAAGGAUUUUUAAUACUUUUCUUUGACAAGGUCAGUAAUUAUAGAAGGGAAGAAAAUCUUAAUAACUUUUUUAUUAUCUAAAUCUUUCUUUUUGAGACAGGCUGGGAGAAGAUAUCACAGAUUUGGACAAAAAAAAUACAGGAUAUCACAACUUAGUAGCAGUGGGAAAUACACAGGAAUACUGGUGUGAAAGUAUCAGACAGGUUGAAGUCUUCUACAAAAACAAGACAAAGAACCCCAUUUUGGAAAAAAAAAGUUUAAUAAUCUGUUUUCCCACGUUCUGAGGUCUGAAAGGGAAAAAACUGCUGGGGACUCACCCUCAAACACAGAAUUACCGGAUCAGUGAGGUUGGAAAAGAAUUCCAAGGUCAUUGAGCUGAACUUGUAACUGAUCCCCACCGUGUCAACCAGACCAUGGCAGGGGCGUUCCUUGGACACCUCCAGGGAUGGGGACACCACCAACUUCCUUCCAAUGCUUAUCAACCCUUCCUAGGAAGAAAUUCCCCCUGGUGUCCAACCUGAACCUCCUCCAGUGCAGCUUAAGGCAAAUUCUUCUUGUUCUGUCAGAAUGUCACAGUCUCAGGAUUAUGGCCACACAGAUGAGGGGCUGGGACAGUCUUGACCUCUUUUUUGGCAAGUGAGAGGAUGAAGUUGCUUGGAGCUUCCACAGAGAACCUCUGAUCCCAUUUCCCACAGUUUGUUUGUUCCUACACUGUCUUUAACCUUAGGCACUCAUAGACACCCUGAAGAGUCUCUCCAAAGUGAGUUGAGCUCCCCUCUUGGCUAUGCUCGUGAAAAUCCAGACACUCCUUUGGAAGUAACCUGGGUUUUGAUCUUUGAUUGACUUUGGCUACUGCAGGAGCUGAUCCUCCAGGAUGCUGAGCCCUUCUGUAAAUCUGAAAUGUUUGGUUGUGAUUUCACUACUGCAAACCCCUGGUUCAAUGGGGCGAGGGACCUUCCCACAGCCAGAGCAACAGCUGAGUGACGUGACCCCCAGAGAGGACUGAAGUGACCCCCAUGGAGGACUGGGCCUGUGGUUUGUUUAUGGAAAACCGAUCUGGGGCUGGAGCAGUGAUUACACAGAGCACUCGCCGGCUCCUGCUCCGUCCCCGUGCCAACAACAACAGCGCAACGCUCCGAGUCAAACCUGCUCACAGGGCCGCAGCUGAGUCAAUGGAUGGGACUCCUGCCAGCUCCCAGCCAGCCAGGGGUGGUUUGUUCCUCUUUAAGUCACUCGGAUCACGUUCAUCUCCGAUGCUGGGUGAAAUUCAGAGGUGCCGCAGGAAUACGCCGGGAAUGUUUUGAGAGCUUUGGCACCAUCCCCAACGGCAGCAGAGACCAACCAAUCAGGGUUAUCUCCUUCCUUUGUCCAUCCCAUGACACUUCCCAGCUCCUCUCAGCUUCUAAUUUAGCCUUCCCAUGGAAUAAUAUGCUGCAGAUUAUUUAACUAUGUCUUCGCUUUUAAAAUUGGAAUGUUUGCAUUUCCUUACCCACAUUGAUCAGUGAACUUAAGGCAUGGGUAAUGUGCAGGGAAGAGUCAAGAAUAUAAAUAUUAUAGGCAGAAGAAAUAGUUAGAAUUAAGCACAGUUACCUUUAAUAACCCUGUAUGUAUGUUAUAUACAUAAACAAAUAUUUGCUGUAAUCUCAAGUGAGAUGUAUACAUGUAUAAGAUGCCUAUGAGUACUGUCUAUAAAAAUCAGUGUUUUAAAAGAUAGAAAUACUUGUUGAGGGCCAAACAGCUGCUAGUUCAUCAUCAUUGGGAGGCAUGAUAGAAAUAGAAAUUAGAAAUAGAAAUAGAAAUAGAAAUAGAAAUAGAAAUAGAAAUAGAAAUAGAAAUAGAAAUAGAAAUAGAAAUAAUAAACCUUUGAAAGUCAAAAGGUAAUUUUUUAAACUCUCCUGCUGAGCACUGAAAGACAAAAAUCAUGGGAGUACCAAGGAAAAGGAGUUCAGAGGUCAGCAUGAUGGAAAAACAAAGAUCCUCCCCUGUAAUAAAUCAAUACACUUUAAAUUUAAUCCUCAACUUCUUUAAUUCUCACAAAGAAAUAAUUUCUUUGUAAAAUUUUGAUGCUGCAUUUAGUUGUUUAUUCAGGAAACACAAGCAAAAAAGUGUAACUUUUAAUGCUAUAAUUUCUUGUAGCUGCACUGAAGCAAAAGAAACAGCUGCUGUUGAUCUAACACAUCUUAGCACCUUUCUAAAACAUCUUCUAAUGCCUCUAAGCACUCUCUUGAGGUUUUGUCAUUUUGUUUUAAUUAGAUGGGGGGGGGAACCUCUAGAAAGAUAAAGGCAAAUCUUCAAGGAAUGGAAUGCAAAGAUCUGUGGGCUAAGGGAAAAGAAAACAUCCAAUUUUAAAGGAGGACAAAAAAAGGCAAAUAGUAAAAUUCAAAUUGUAAAUUUAUUAAUACUAUUCAGAAAUUGCAAAACGUUUUCAGUGUAAAAUUCCCAAAAUUUUGGAACUGCUGCUAAAAUAGAAUACAAAUAAAUUUAUCUAGAAAAAUUAAUCAGAAGUACUAUUUGUAACAUUUUAAUAGAGAAUUUGACUUUAUGAAGUGAUAAUAGUAAAAUUUGGUUUAUAUUUGUUCAAAGAGACAAAACAUUUCUCAUUCAUAUAAUGAGAAUUAGAGGCAGAAAGUUGGCAUUCAUUAUUCUCUUAAGACUGUUGAGGUCUGAACUGAGGUACAGUUCUCUAUGUCUGUCACCAACAUUUUUGCUGAUCUUGGGGUUAAAUAUGAUCAGUGUGAUGAGUUUGGCCUGCAUAGGAAGGUUGUAUUGUGAGAUAACCUGAACCAUAACUCCCAGGAAUAUUGUAGAUAAAAGAGAGAAAGAGAGAGCCUGAUUAAUGAGAAACCAACCCAGAAGAGAUAAUUCUGCUUAAAAUAUAUUUAAUGUUUUAACAUUAAAUUUUAACAUUUAACAUUUAACUAAUAUAUUACUAUUUAUCUGGCUUUUAAAAUUUUAAUUUCUUUUAUUUCUUUUUUUCUUCCUCCAGUGAUCAACCAAAAAGCUUGGAGAAAACUCUUUUUUUUUUCCUAAAAAAAUGGCAGAAACCCCAGUUGCUAUUCUGGUCCUUGAUAAAAGAAUGGCUCAGCUGCAGAACUGGGAUGAGACAUGGGACAGACAGCAAAGCAUGUCUUCUCUGACUCAAACAUGGCCAGAACUGAGUCCCAGCAUCCCAGCUGACAUCUUACCAAGCACUUUAUGUAUUUCUUUGUAUGUCCCAGUAUGGAAUCUUCCUCAAAAAAGAAUGGUGCUGUGACUCCAAAUCUCCUGUUCCUCCAUCAUUAAAAACUGCAGGCACCUUUUCCCAGUCCUAGCAUAAGUAAUAGAACCAAACCUCUUCACAUGGUUUUAAUUUGAUUUUUUUUUCCUCAGCAUUUUUCUUACUGAUAGUCAUGCAAGUUCUCUUCAGCUAACUUGGAAUUAUUAAAAAAAUGAAAAAAAGAGUAGGGGUUCAAAGUGUGUUUAUAAUUACAAGGAAUGUAUUUUUUCCCAAAAUGUUGCCUAUCAUCAACUAGCCUUGUUUCUGAAUUAUUUCUGCAACAAAGACCACCUCUGAAAAAAAAAGGAUAGCAUCAGAAAAAGACAUAUAUUAUGUAAAUCUAAAAUAUGAGCUAAGCUGAUAAGUGAUGUAGCACAUUAGUACAUUGGAGAGAUUUGUAACCAUCCAUAAAUGUACUGCCAAAACACAGCUACAUAUUAGAGAGUAUAAAUCCCCUUUUGUAUAUCACUUAAUAGAUAGCUUUAUUUUGAUAUAGG
Molecule: long non-coding RNA, 4952 nt
Organism: Passer domesticus (house sparrow)
Lineage: Eukaryota; Metazoa; Chordata; Aves; Passeriformes; Passeridae
Exons: 4
Source: RefSeq, a predicted model, not a curated record